This 489-nucleotide ribosomal RNA is filed under the name uncultured bacterium. Its description in RNAcentral is "partial 16S ribosomal RNA". It matches the Rfam family "Bacterial small subunit ribosomal RNA", at positions 30 to 506 of the family's 1533-position model. The record is from RNAcentral.
AUUGAACGCUGGCGGCAGGCCUAACACAUGCAGGUCGAACGGUAACAGGAAGAAGCUUGCUUCUUUGCUGACGAGUGGCGGACGGGUGAGUAAUGUCUGGGAAACUGCCUGAUGGAGGGGGAUAACUACUGGAAACGGUAGCUAAUACCGCAUAACGUCGCAAGACCAAAGAGGGGGACCUUCGGGCCUCUAGCCAUCGGAUGUGCCCAGAUGGGAUUAGCUAGUAGGUGGGGUAACGGCUCACCUAGGCGACGAUCCCUAGCUGGUCUGAGAGGAUGACCACCCACACUGGAACUGCGACACGGGCCAGACCCCGACGGGGGGCAGGAGUGGGCAAUAUUAAAAAAUGGGCGCAAACCUGAUGCAGCCAUGCCGGGUGUAAAAAGAAGGCCUUCGGGUUGUAAAGUUCUUUCAGCGGGGAGGAAGGGAAUAAAGUUAAUACCUUUGCUCAUUGACCUUACCCGCAGAAGGAGCAGCGGCUGACUCCGU